GUACUAACUAUAUUGGAAAUAAUCUGCCAGUGGAACGAGAACGUUCUCAUCAACAUGAAGAAAUUACUUACUUAAAAUAAGCUACUAUAUCUAACUAAAUCGCUACUUAUAAGUUAUUUUCAUCUUAUUUCAAGAGUACCAAGGACUUUGAACCAAAAAAAGAACUCCCCCCCAAAAAAA
Molecule: long non-coding RNA, 180 nt
Organism: Xiphophorus hellerii (green swordtail)
Lineage: Eukaryota; Metazoa; Chordata; Actinopteri; Cyprinodontiformes; Poeciliidae
Exons: 3
Source: RefSeq, a predicted model, not a curated record